This 180-nucleotide ribosomal RNA is filed under the name uncultured bacterium. RNAcentral's name for it is "partial 16S ribosomal RNA". It matches the Rfam family "Bacterial small subunit ribosomal RNA", at positions 355 to 529 of the family's 1533-position model. The record is from RNAcentral.
UGAGGAAUAUUGGUCAAUGGGCGCGAGCCUGAACCAGCCAAGUCGCGUGAGGGAUGACGGCCCUACGGGUUGUAAACCUCUUUUGUCGGGGAGCGAAAUUCCGCCACGUGUGGCGGAGUCGAGAGUACCCGAAGAAAAGCAUCGGCUAACUCCGUGCCAGCAGCCGCGUAAUCUCACUGU